RNAcentral lists this ribosomal RNA (254 nucleotides) under uncultured bacterium. Its description in RNAcentral is "partial 16S ribosomal RNA". It matches the Rfam family "Bacterial small subunit ribosomal RNA", at positions 524 to 777 of the family's 1533-position model. The record is from RNAcentral.
UACGGAGGGGGCUAGCGUUGUUCGGAUUUACUGGGCGUAAAGCGCACGUAGGCGGAUCUUUAAGUCAGAGGUGAAAUCCCAAGGCUCAACCUUGGAACUGCCUUUGAUACUGGGGAUCUUGAGUCCGGGAGAGGUGAGUGGAACUGCGAGUGUAGAGGUGAAAUUCGUAGAUAUUCGCAAGAACACCAGUGGCGAAGGCGGCUCACUGGCCCGGUACUGACGCUGAGGUGCGAAAGCGUGGGGAGCAAACAGGG